Molecule: non-coding RNA, 132 nt
Organism: Trachymyrmex cornetzi
Lineage: Eukaryota; Metazoa; Arthropoda; Insecta; Hymenoptera; Formicidae
Source: Rfam
UUGUAGGUCUUGGUGUGAUGGCGGGGAGGUUUUAGUCGGUAGGCGCCGAACCGAACUUCGGUUCGGGACGGUGAAUCCGACACUACCCGGGGUGGUUUCUCGGAUGUCUUUUGAAGAUUUCCUCCCCGACAA